AAAAAGCAAUUAUAGAUGCUAAAAUUGCCAAAGAACGGGGAUUGCUUGAUUUCCCUGAACCAAACUACCCCCAAGAAGAUGGAGGUGCACAAAUGCCAACGCAACCAGUUGAGGACAUACGUAAUGAUGACCCUAGCAUGAUGAACAUGUUGGAUCACACAAAACCAACAAGAUCACACGUGUAUGACAGAAUGCAGCAACAACCGCAGUUGUGGAAGGCCCAACAAAAUCCGACG
Molecule: non-coding RNA, 236 nt
Organism: Spodoptera litura
Lineage: Eukaryota; Metazoa; Arthropoda; Insecta; Lepidoptera; Noctuidae
Source: RefSeq, a predicted model, not a curated record